Bombus huntii is the source of this 313-nucleotide long non-coding RNA. RefSeq lists it as uncharacterized. The transcript is spliced from 2 exons. NCBI's taxonomy places the organism in Eukaryota, Metazoa, Arthropoda, Insecta, Hymenoptera, Apidae. The record is from RefSeq and is a predicted model, not a curated record.
ACAUGAUAAAAAAAUCAACUGAUUAAUUCAUGUAACGAACACAGAAAUGGUGGUGGAGGAACGAGUCGGGUUGAGAAAAGAACGAAACGUUCUUAUGAAGAAAAUUGUCACAAUUUCAAUCUAGUAAACAUAUGCUGGCACUUGAAGCAAUAUUUUUGGCGCGUCACCAAGCGGUUGGUUGAUAGUUUACUAUAACUUUGGACAUUGGGUAACAACGAGGGACGAAAAUAAUCUUCUAACGAGAUUCAUCGAAGAAUACAGAAGCGAAGGAAACUUAAAUAACGAUAUGAAAUAAACACUUAUUAAUAACGGG